This is a long non-coding RNA of Gallus gallus (chicken), 432 nucleotides long. Lineage: Eukaryota; Metazoa; Chordata; Aves; Galliformes; Phasianidae. The record is from Ensembl.
UGCUAUUUGAAGCAUUCUUUUUGAACAGAUGCAAAAAAAAUAUGGAUGUGAGCUGAAGUCCUUGAAACGUUUGCUUAGCGGCUUUGCAGGCCGCUCCUAUUUGCAUGAGGAAGCCCAACCUGGCUCACAGUGCUGCUGAACCACGGCCAAAGCUGAGGAACCUCCGCAGCAGAGCACAGAGCCAGUCAGGCUGUGCCCUGGGAAGGGUUUGGGCAGCAUCUGCACCUUGAUGGGGCUGGAGGGAAGCAGGAGGCUGGGCAGGAUGUGGCAGUGGAGCUGGAAUUGGAACCUGGGCAGGCUCCCUGCAGGCAAGGCACCACAGCUGCCAUGAGGAUGUGCAUCUGACCCGUCUGAAAACCUGCAAGUAUCUGCCAGGGUACCAGUUCUUUUGACGGUGUGAGUAUUUCUAGUUCAUCUUUUCACAAAGGGGGC